GCCAGUGUGAUGUAGCGGUUUGAGUGUUGGACUACGACUCAGGAGACCAGGGUUCGAUUCCCAGCUCGGCCA
Non-coding RNA from Phrynosoma platyrhinos (Desert horned lizard), 72 nucleotides. NCBI's taxonomy places the organism in Eukaryota, Metazoa, Chordata, Lepidosauria, Squamata, Phrynosomatidae. The record is from the annotation of a GenBank genome assembly.